UCCUACGGGAGGCAGCAGUGAGGAAUAUUGGUCAAUGGGGGAGAUCCUGAACCAGCCAAGCCGCGUGAGGGAAGACGGCCCUAUGGGUUGUAAACCUCUUUUGUCGGAGAACAAAACCCGGGACGAGUCCCGGACUGCGUGUAUCCGAAGAAAAAGCAUCGGCUAACUCCGUGCCAGCAGCCGCGGUAAUACGGAGGAUGCGAGCGUUAUCCGGAUAUAUUGGGCGUAAAGCGAGUGCAGGCGGUUCAAUAAGUCUGAUGUGAAAGCCUUCGGCGCAACCGGAGAAUUGCAUCAGAAACUGUUGA
Molecule: ribosomal RNA, 305 nt
Filed under: uncultured bacterium
Lineage: Bacteria
Description: bacterial SSU rRNA
Rfam family: Bacterial small subunit ribosomal RNA
Source: RNAcentral